AACCCCACUCUAAAACCUAAACACAAAAAUCCACAAGAUUUUAAUUUUUCAUUUUUUUUUAUUUUCAUGGAUUUAACAGAUUCAUUAAUUUUUAAUAGUAGUGUUCGUGCUAGUGACGUUGAUGGAUCUGAUAAUUUUUCUUCUAAUCUACUGGUUCAGAUCUGAAGUGCUAUAGUUCUAGAGAUGUUUGAUUUUUUGGGCAUUUUCCCCUAUUUUCAGUGGAAAAGUAUAGGGUCACAAAUAAAGGCGUACGGGCUGUGCCUUUCACCAGCAAUAUGCAUUUCUCGGUCAGAUUCUGCGUACUACCUGAUAAUUUUAUCUUGGGCAGCUGUUUUCGCUGAAGCUGAAUUAUCACAUCAUAAGUCAGGAGUAAUUUUAGGUGCACCACUUGAGGCUCCUCCAAAGUACCAUUCAGGAACCCCACAUGUUGGAUCCGAUCUGCCUCUUCCUGCAAACAUUCCCCAUAAUACCUUUCCACCAUUCCAUCGAAGACAUAGGAGACAUUUUAAGCCAGAUAUUUCAUUCCCACCAGCUUUAGUUCCAUCUCAACCACCAGGUUAUGGUUCGUUAACUACUUCCUCUCAUCCACCAUCAACUUAUUCGUAUUUAUCUAAACCAUCGAUGCGGAGCAAUCCGCAGUCAGCCGCCCCUAGUUCAGGCUUGUUAUCUCCCCCAUCUGAUGGCCUUGUUCCAAAGUCAUCCAACUUUGGUUCUAUUGCUUCUGGGUUGGCACCACCACCCCUAUCUCCUCAUGUAUCUGGUUGCUGUGGAUCAGAUAUGAUGCAGAGAAGGGACAAUGAAACUUGUGAUUGUGUAUAUCCAAUACGGCUUGAGCUGCUUCUUUCAAAUGUUUCACUGAAUUCAAAUUUGAGCUCAAUCCAAGAAGAUUUUGCUUCGCAACUUGGUCUGCAAGUAUCUCAGUUUGAGCUCAUCUAUUUUUAUAUUGUUGGGCUAACUGGACUGAAUAUGUCCAUGGAUAUUAUUCCAUUGACUGGGGUUAGUUUCUCUAGCAAUGAGGCAUACCGGAUUAAUUAUACUCUUACUACUCAUAGAGUUGAGCUUAAUCAUUCAUUAGUUGGAGACUAUGAGGUCCUCAAUUUUACCUGGUUUAAGCCCCCAGCCCCUGCUCCUGAGACUGCAGCCCCACCAGUUAUGUCACCUCAAGCUGCUACUCCUAUAUCUGCUGGGGUCUCAUAUUCUUCUUCCAAAAGGGUGAAACAUCCUAGUUUGGUUCUUCUUAUUGGCAUAGGAUCUGGUAUCCUAAUAAUUUUCAUUGUAUCUGUGGUAGUUAUUUGUUCAUGCACAUCUGGUCAACGGAAGAAAGAAGCCCCGCCCAUACAAACUGCAAAGCAAAAGACUGCCGAUGCAGUUUCAAAUGAUGGGUCUCUUCCUCAUCCGACUAGUACAAGGGUUUUUGCAUAUGAAGAGCUAAAAGAGGCAACAAAUAAUUUUGAACCUGCAAGCAUGCUUGGGGAGGGUGGGUUUGGCCGGGUCUUCAAAGGUGUGUUGAGUGAUGGCACAGCUGUUGCUAUCAAGAAGCUCUCAAGUGGGGGCCAUCAAGGGGAUAAAGAAUUCUUGGUUGAAGUUGAGAUGCUCAGUAGGCUACACCAUCGAAACCUUGUGAAACUUGUGGGUUACUAUAGUAGUCGUGAUUCUUCACAGCACCUGCUGUGCUAUGAACUUGUCCCAAAUGGAAGCUUGGAAUCCUGGCUGCAUGGUCCUGUCGGAGCGAAUCGCCCUUUGGAUUGGGAUACUAGAAUGAAAAUUGCUCUUGAUGCUGCCAGAGGGCUUGCAUACCUUCAUGAAGAUUCCCAGCCUUGCGUGAUCCACAGAGAUUUCAAGGCAUCUAAUAUUUUACUGGAGCAUAAUUUCCACGCAAAGGUUGCUGAUUUUGGCUUAGCAAAGCAAGCUCCUGAGGGUCGGGGAAACUACUUAUCCACUCGUGUCAUGGGUACAUUUGGUUAUGUGGCUCCUGAAUAUGCUAUGACCGGGCAUCUGCUUGUUAAGAGUGAUGUAUACAGCUAUGGAGUUGUCCUCCUUGAAUUGCUGACUGGGAGGAGACCAGUGGAUAUGACUCAACCUUCAGGGCAGGAGAAUCUCGUUACAGGGGCUCGACCAAUUCUUCGAGAUAAGGACAGGCUCGAACAGCUUGCUGAUCCAAGGCUCAGUGGUAAAUACCCAAAAGAGGAUUUUAUGAGAGUUUGCACUAUCGCAGCAGCUUGUGUGGCCCCUGAGGCAAACCAGCGCCCCACUAUGGGAGAAGUUGUGCAAUCACUAAAAAUGGUGCAAAGAGUCACAGAAUAUCAAGAUACCUUAACAACAUCUAACCGACCCAAUAUUAGACAAUCAUCUACUACAUAUGAAUCUGAUGGGACCUCUUCCAUGUUCUCUUCUGGCCCUUUCUCUGGUCUUAGUGCCUUUGAUAAUGACGCCAUUUCUCGAAAUGCGGUGUUCUCGGAAGACUUACAAGAAGGACGGUAAUUUUCAAAGGUGACCCAGGCCAACUGGAGCCAGUUUGGGCCCUCCUAGUUCUGUACCCAGUUUUGAAUUUUAAAUUGCUGAUCUGGACAGUGCUUGGGUCGCUUAUUUACUUGUUUUAAAUGAUUAUUUACUUACACAACUGAAGGUAAAAAGGUGUUUUGGAUACUUUCCAGAUAUUCCGAUAUUUUUUUUCUUGUUAUUUGGAGAUGGACAAAAUUUGGGUAGGAAUGGGUGCCAAGUUGGGUUUAUAUAUCUACAUUGACAGAACGAGUGCUAUGCAAUUUGAGCUGAACCUCAGAGAAUCAAACUUUGGACCACUCUUAGCCAUUCAGAGUUCCGAGAUUCGUGCAUCAAUUGAUUGCGUGUGGCACCAGCUGCAGUUACAGUAAAGCCAUGGAAAAUUGUAAUAUGAAGACAAUGGUGUUUAUUUUGUAAUCAGGCAGCCAAAAUUGGAGUGUGUCUAUGUAUUUUAUUGGUUUCUUUGUUUUUUUUGGUUUUGAUUUGUUUUCUGUUGGUCUCAGGGGAAUUCUGUUUCCCAAUUUAAAUUUUGCAGUUUUUUUCAGGUUUCUCCAUUGAAAUGUAUUUAUGCGGUUUUUAAAGUCCUGGUUUGGAUUGGGAAUGUAUUUUUUUAGUGGUGGAGUGGUGGUGGUUUCAUUUUUAGCAGCUC
Molecule: RNA transcript, 3148 nt
Organism: Amborella trichopoda
Lineage: Eukaryota; Viridiplantae; Streptophyta; Magnoliopsida; Amborellales; Amborellaceae
Gene name: Protein kinase superfamily protein
Source: RefSeq, a predicted model, not a curated record